Molecule: long non-coding RNA, 880 nt
Organism: Bos taurus (domestic cattle)
Lineage: Eukaryota; Metazoa; Chordata; Mammalia; Artiodactyla; Bovidae
Source: Ensembl
AUUAUCUCAGAUUUGGGGGAGGGGUGCAAAUGAAUUAUCACAUCAAUGUAAUUAAGAGUCCAGGCUCUGGAGUUAGGCUUGAUUCAAAUCCUAGUUCUGGAAUUCAAAUGUGUUUUAUAGUAAAUAUGGUGAUUACAUUUACCAGAAAUUGACCUUAGAAGAACUGAACAGGGCCCCCUGUUUGUAUAAAGCUCCUGUGAAGGGAAUGCAGGUCAGAUUACUGUUCCUUCUGCAUGUCUGCAACAGGCAUGUGUAUGCAGAGUCCCCUGGGUUGCAGAAGUAAGUGACCUGAAGAGCAGAGACAGUCCUUUGGAAUCAGACAAAGCAUUUCACACACUGUCAGGUUCAUGUGAAGCUCCCGGCUGACUGCAGUCACAUUAGGGACCCUAGUGAAGAGGAAGAACCACCAACUGAGACGGCUCACUUCUCAGAAUCAUGAAAAUAAAAAAUUGAAACACUAAGAAGCUACUCCAGUGGAGGUGAGGAGAGUGAAAAGAGGCAAGAGUGGACAGAGGAAAACAAUGCAUCUGGGAAUAUGACCUUGUUGGGACAUUGAGCAGCUGUUCCUGGUGGCUAUAUUUACAGAAGGAGAAAGAGAUAAUACGAACUUGAAAAGCUGAUUAAAAAUGUUAUGUGAGCAGUAUCUUGGCCACUUUUGAAAAGAAGACAAUGGUGAAUAUUCAUAAGGAGAACCAUUAAAGAACCAAAGUAGGAAGAAAAAGGUUUAGCCUAACUCAUGGCACUAAGGUACGUAAAGAAAAACAGUUACCUAGAGAAGGAGCUGGGUCCAUUCUGGAAACUAGAGGUCCGUAUGAGAGACCAUGUAGGGGUGGGUGCAAAGUGGAAGAAGAAUUAGAGAAAUAUUUGAGGAGGUGAGUUU